RNA transcript from Chroicocephalus ridibundus (black-headed gull), 4316 nucleotides. It is a transcript of the gene named MAX dimerization protein 1, with no coding region annotated. The transcript is spliced from 7 exons. NCBI's taxonomy places the organism in Eukaryota, Metazoa, Chordata, Aves, Charadriiformes, Laridae. The record is from RefSeq and is a predicted model, not a curated record.
GGCCAAUAGGUGCGAGCGCAGGGCGUGGCAUCGGACACGGCCCCUUUGCCUCCCUCCCGUGCCGGCGUGGGGCGGGGCCUCCCUGCCCCCCUUCCUCCAAUGGGCGUCGGCAGUUGGGGGGCGUCGCCCAAUGAGCGGCGGCGGGGGGCGGGGCCUGGCGGAACGGCCGGGCGAGGCGUACAAACGACACCGCCCCGUCGCCGCCGCCGCUCCCGGCCCGGCCCGGCCCGGUCCGGCCCUCACAGCGCGGCGAGAUGGCGGCCUGCGGCGGCCUCAACAUCCAGAUGCUGCUGGAAGCGGCCGAGUACCUGGAGCGGCGGGAGCGAGAAGCCGAGCACGGUUACGCCUCGCUGCUGCCCGGCGGUAAGGACGGGGAGACCCUGCGGCGCCGCGCCAAGGCCAGGAAGAGCGGUGGCGGCAGCAGGUCGACACACAACGAGAUGGAAAAGAAUAGGCGUGCCCAUCUACGGCUGUGUUUGGAGAAGCUGAAAGGGCUCGUACCGCUCGGACCCGAAGCCAGCAGACACACCACCCUGAGUUUACUAACGAAAGCCAAAUUGCACAUCAAGAAGCUUGAAGACUAUGACAGGAAAGCCGUACACCAAAUAGACCAGCUGCAGCGGGAGCAGCGGCACCUGAAAAGGCAGCUGGAGAAGCUGGGGAUAGAGAGGAUAAGGAUGGACAGUAUUGGAUCCACUGUUUCUUCAGAGCGCUCAGACUCGGAUAGAGAAGAGAUAGAUGUGGACGUGGAGAGCACGGAUGACCUUCCCGCGGACCUCGACUGGAGCAGCAGCAGCCUGAGCGACUCGGACGAAAGAGGGAGCCUGCAGAGCGUAUGUAGCGACGAGGGUUAUUCCAGCUCCGGCGUGAAGAGAGUGAAGUUGCAGAGCAAUCACAAGCCUUCUCUCGACCUGUAAGGAGCAACUCCCGUAGCCGUUUCACCCAUUGCCGUUUCCCUUUUGGAUCUCGUUAGGUAGCACACCAGACCGUCCUGCCAUUCUCUUGCACAUAAAAAAAAUCUUAAUGAACUGCCGACCAGAACGAAGCUGAGCUUUGCGCAAGUCCCAAAACCCGGCGCAGGGCUGCGGGUGGCAAGCUGCUCCCCGGAGCUCGCAUCUGCCAGCUUCUCUUCCCGUCUGAAAGUCCUCUCUGCAAGACCGUACAUUCCAGCCACGUUUUGAUGCGCCCGAGACUAUCCCAGCAGUAACAGCAACCUCAAAAGCCCUCCGCUGGGAUUUUUGGCUUGCUGUCACCACCUGGUAUUCCCAAUCUACUCCGCAUCUGCCCAGCAACAUCACGUACCCGAUAAUCGGCAGCAGGGCCCAAAUGUAAGAGUUUGUGGGCAAGUAUCCGAAGGCAGAGCCAACCUCUUGCAUAGUUUAGAUCCAGGAGAGAGCAGAGGCAAGUCGGCAAUCGGGAAGCGGAGCAUUUCUGCCGCGUCACGUCUCGGACGGGCGCAGGGAUUGCACCCGCAGCCGCCGGCACAUUGAUCAGAGGGCUUCUCUCUGCCGACUCUAAAUAUUCCGGGUGGCAGCACAGCCGUGUACAGCCCAGCCCAGCCCAGCCCUGCCGUCAUCCCGCAGCUGGAGCCUUACUGGCAUGGGGAACGCCACUCAGGAAGGGCUGUGGGACUCGGCACUCGUCAUUUGGGGUCGGACGCCUUCGGUCUGGGAAGUUUUCUGUCCUACCUAAAAUCAAACGGUCCCUGUUCCCAUCCUGUGCGACGUCCCACCUCCUGCUUCGCGGCUGCACAGUGCUGUUCCAGGCGAGCGCUCCUGGAAUUUUUUUCAUGCUUCUUGUCUCUGGGACAAAUUUUUUCUACCUCGGAGAGAUGAACAAAGAUUAUCUCCAUCCCUUUAGCACAAAAAACAAAGAUGAUGCCUCAUUUGUUUUACAGAAGCGAUGCCCGGCCCCAUUCAAAUCCAUCCCAUGACAGUUUAGCAAUAACCCGACGGUGAGGGGGAGCGGGGCAGCCUCUGGCCGUCGGCGCCCGAGGGGACCCCACAGAUCUUCACUGAAGCACUUCUCCGGCCAGCGGGGAUCUUUUCAGGCACUCAAAUGGGCUCGCGAAGGAUUUUGUGGUCGCCACCUUAGGGAGAGAAACCCAAACACACCACGGAAGGGCCAGAGCCCUUCCCACUGCCCUGACAGCGGAGGGGUCCCGACCUGAGAGCACACGGAAAUGUACAGAAAACACACGAGCUAUAAAUAGUAUUUAUUCCUUUUUCUAUGUACUGGAGAUAACAUUCUUAUGACUUUCUGCUUUUAUAGAUGUUCUGGAAACUUUGAUACGUAGAGGUCCGCUAACAGAGAUGUUUCUUUUCCCCUUGAGCCAGGCGAAGGUCCUUUCCGCCCCCUUGGCAAACCUCUCCCUCGAUCCCUGUCGGCACGCGGUGAGGAGCCGCUUCGCUCUCCAAGGGCUUUUUUUAGCAGUGGGAGACAAAACCGAGCUUCCCACGGUCUGUACCAAUCCGUUCAAGAAAUGCAGUUUCCAAAACGCCGGAAGCCACCGAGAUGCUCCAUAAACAGACGGAGUUUUCCAACGUCCGACGGAUUUGCACUCACCCGCAACUCAGAUGCCUUUAGCGCCGGUACGCCCGAGGCAGCCAGCCUUUGCCACGCGAGCUCAAAACCCCUGCGCUUUCAAAAAUGGGGGGGGGGAAGGCAAAAGGAUGAAAAGCACAGAGAAAAGGAAGUGGAAUAUCAGCACUUUGAGGCAUUUGCCGAGCGCCCUCCCUCACCCUCUUCCAAAAACCGCCUCAGGAUUCCCUCCGGAGCGGCGGCUCUUGCUGCCUUUGAGCAGGGAAGGGUGACAUCCAGCACUGGGAAAGCACCGUCGGGGUUCAACGGGAGGCAGAAAACAGUUAAUUUUUGGUUGUCGUUUAGGUAGGCUGAGUCUUAAGGUUUCAAUUCGGUGUAAAUUAUUAAUUUUUUUUUUCAGUGUUGUGCCUUUUUGAGUUACCCGCCUUCUUCCCUUGGUGAAAGGCUGCGUGGGGGUUUACUCCCCGCCCCCCCCCCCGCCCCCUUCUUCUUUUUUGUCCCAAAAUAAUAAUUAUCGGACCUUUUGCACUGUUGGGAUGUGCUCCUCUCCAGCCUGAGGGCGAAGAGAAAUGGGAACCCUCCAAAAUGAUGCACUAACCUGGAAGGAGGCUGUAAAUCCGGCGGUUGCUUCCCGGCGAGCGGCCGGGACCGUCUCUGGCAGCUUUCGCUCUCUCCAGGUCCCCCACUUCGUCGGCGGAGGCGCCCGGCGGCUGUGCGAGCCUUUUCCUGGAAUUCACUGAUCCACCAGCAUUCCUAAGAAAUAAGCUGCAGGAAGGACAUUUUUGUAUAUUGUGAUUAAAAUAAAAAGGGGAUGCGAGGAGCCACUCGCGCGCCCCACGUUUACAACGGAUCGUUGCACAGACGGGCGUGAGUCGAAAACACGCUUUUUUGGGGGGGUUGUUUUGUUUUGUUUUUCGUUUUUCGUUUUCUUUUUCCUUGCGGAAGGCAGAUCCCAAACCGCUGCUUUGGGUGGCGAGAGAUGGGACCCACAGCCGGGCAGAGAACGGGAAGCUGCUGGGAACGGGGCCCUACCCCAAUCCCUCUGGAGCCCAUCACUGUCCUGGCGCUUUGCUCCCUGAUUUGUCCCCCCCGUGUAGAAAAAGGUUGGGACAUCGCCUGCCGUCACUUGCUCCCUGGAAAACGUCACGUCCUUGCUCUGCCACGGCUAUGGCUGAAAACCGCGACGUUUCUUUCAUCCUUUUAAUUUAUCCAGCGUAGCGGUACGCGAGCCGUCCGAAACGUCUGAUCCAGAACCAUCUGGGCAUUGCUUGUAUUUCCUUUGACGCAUUUUAUUUGUGCUUUUCCAUCUUUUUCUUCCUAACCUUUUGCUUCCCGAGAAGCAAACCUGUAGAGCAUCGGCUUUAUUUUAGGCAUUCGAGAGCCGGGGAGCGGCAGAUGGGAGAAUAGGAAUUCUGUUUCCAGCCGUUCGGUUCCUGCUGUAAAUACCCCGUCGUCAUUCAGAAUCCUGUGUCAAGGCCAUCUAAUGGUGCUUUUUAUUACGGUUAGCACACGCGUUUUUAGAAACUACAUGUUUUAGGAGACCUUUGCUGUGUAUAUGGAGACUUCUGUAUUGUUCGACUGUUAGAAAAUAAAUUAUUUCAUUACGAAAGAGAACCGGCGUGCUGGCCGCUGCCUCGGGAAGCAAGCGGAAGGCUCUCGGGGAUGUUCCGCGGAUGAGAAACGGCAACUGGGGGGCGCCUCCAUCCUGCUCUUCCCAGUCCCGCUGCCCAAUCCCAUGUUUUCGGCACCCAACGGGAUAGAGCUUUGCUGCCGGA